RNAcentral lists this ribosomal RNA (403 nucleotides) under uncultured bacterium. Its description in RNAcentral is "partial 16S ribosomal RNA". It matches the Rfam family "Bacterial small subunit ribosomal RNA", at positions 28 to 526 of the family's 1533-position model. The record is from RNAcentral.
GACGAACGCUGGCGGCGUGCCUAAUACAUGCAAGUCGAACGCAGUGGGGACGGGUGAGUAACAAGUGGGUAACCUCCCAUCAGAGGGGAUAACACUUGGAAACAGGUGCUAAAACGAUAUUGAUGGAUGGAGCAGCUGGGCAUUAGCUAGUUGGUGAGGUAACGGCUCACCAAGGCUACGAUGCAUAUCCGACCUGAGAGGGUGAUCGGCCACACUGGGACGGAGACACGGCCCAGACUCCUAAGGGAGGCAGCAGUAGGGAAUCUUCGGCAAUGGACGAAAGUCUGACCUAGCAACGCCGCGUGAGUGAAGAAGGUUUUCGGGUCGUAAAACUCUGUUGUUAGGGAGGCGGUAUCUAACCAGAAAGCCACGGCUAACUACGUGCCAGCAGCCGCGGUAAUAC